RNAcentral lists this transfer RNA (74 nucleotides) under Verrucosispora sp. WMMC514. Its description in RNAcentral is "tRNA-Ala". It matches the Rfam family "tRNA". Rfam says of the family: Transfer RNA (tRNA) molecules are approximately 80 nucleotides in length. Lineage: Bacteria; Bacillati; Actinomycetota; Actinomycetes; Micromonosporales; Micromonosporaceae. The record is from RNAcentral.
GGGCUCAUGGCGCAGUUGGUAGCGCGUCGCUCUGGCAGGGCGAAGGCCCCCGGUUCGAAACCCGGGUGAGUCCA